CAAUAGCGUAUAUUAAAGUUGUUGCGGUAAAAGCUCGUAGUUGGAUUUCUGUUGAGAACGACCGGUCCACACAACGUGUGCGCAUCUGGUUCGGUCUCGGCAUCCUCUCGAAAGACGACUCUGCGCUUGAUUGCGUGGAUCGGAUUCCGGGACUUUUACUUGAGGAAAUUAGAGUGUUCACGGCAGGCUAUCGCCAGGAUACAUUAGCAUGGAAUAAUACUAUAGGAUCUCGGUUCUAUUUUGUUGGUUUCUAGAAUUGAGAUAAUGAUUAAUAGGGACAAUUGGGGCGAUUAGUAUCAACACGUCAGAGGUGGAAUUCUUGGAUUGUGUUGCGACUAACUACUGCGAAAGCAUUUUGCCAAGGAUGUUUUUCAUUGAUCAAGAACGAAAGUUGGGGGAUCGAAGACGAUUAGAU
This 415-nucleotide ribosomal RNA is filed under the name uncultured eukaryote. RNAcentral describes it as "SSU rRNA". It matches the Rfam family "Eukaryotic small subunit ribosomal RNA", at positions 592 to 1013 of the family's 1831-position model. The record is from RNAcentral.